UUGGCCGGAAAAGGGCUAAGAUCUAAGGGAAAAUGGAAAUACUUUAAAUAAUAGAAUUUGUAGCUUAAUAUAUGAAACUGUUUUCAUUAUUUCCUUUUUCAGAGAUCAAAUGUACUAAACUCAAACCAGACAAAUGUAACAAAUUAAGUGAAACACUCAGACUAACUCUUUUGGGAUAGACCUGGACCCACCAGAAGAUAAAGAAGAUAAAGGUAGAUUUGAAGAACCUUAGGUGAGAAAAGCAAGGCUGAGGGAACCUCAAAAGGACUUUCCACGGUCACACAACUAGUAAGAGCAUGAGGCAAGAAUUGAAUAUGAGUCUUCCUGAUUCUAAAUGCCUCCUAGAUGCUUCCGAGACCCCCAAAGUGUGCUCAGUGAGUAUCUUCUUAACACUUGAGCUGGAAUCUAAAACCAACAAGUUCUACAUUCUGUUUCUGAAUGAAAUGCAUCAUAAUAAGAUUCAAAUACCUGAUCUGCAAAUGUUCAGGCUCACAUUGCCUCAGAAGUUCUAGCUAUUGAGAUGACUAUGGAAAGCUUCCCAAAACAAGACAAGUUCUGAAUGCUGUAGCACCAUUUUUAAAGUGCUGUUUACCAUAGUAAGUAUUCCCCAUUUGAACCUAUCUAUGUAGAUGUGUUGUUUUUUAUUCUUUUUAGCAACUUUGUCUUUCUAUUUUUCUGUGUCUGUGGGUUGAGGAGAAAAAAAGAAAAGAACAAACAGAUGCUCUUUGCAAACAGUGUGUGGAAAUAUGCUAAUUGUGUGGCCUGGGGAAGAGGUUUCCCCUGAGAGCACUGAGUGUCACAUUAACCAAUAUUUACUGCUAAAAAUGAGGAGGAUGCUAUUUAUAUAUAUAUGUGUGUGUGUGUGUAUGUAUGUAGGUGUAUUGAUAGAGU
RNAcentral lists this long non-coding RNA (891 nucleotides) under Monodelphis domestica (gray short-tailed opossum). RNAcentral's name for it is "lncRNA (ENSMODG00000043909.1)". The record is from RNAcentral. Lineage: Eukaryota; Metazoa; Chordata; Mammalia; Didelphimorphia; Didelphidae.